RNAcentral lists this ribosomal RNA (489 nucleotides) under uncultured bacterium. Its description in RNAcentral is "partial 16S ribosomal RNA". It matches the Rfam family "Bacterial small subunit ribosomal RNA", at positions 28 to 507 of the family's 1533-position model. The record is from RNAcentral.
GAUGAACGCUAGCGGCAGGCUUAAUACAUGCAAGUCGUGGGGCAGCAGGACUCUAGCAUUACAUUUUCUGGCGACCGGCAAGCGGGUGCGGCACACGUACCCAACUUACCCUGAACUGGGGGCUUGCCCGGGGAAACCCUGAUUCAUACUCCGUAAUAUAAUUGCGUGGUAUCACUUUAUUAUUAACGCUCCGGCGGUUCGGGAUGGGCGUUCGGCUGCUUAGUUAGUUGGUUGAGGUAACGGCUCACCAAGCCUACGAUCAGUAAGUGGUGUGAGAGCAGGACGAGUGAGACGGGCACUGAGACACGGGCGCGAGUGAUACGGGAGGGAGCAGUAAGGAAGAUAGGGGAAUGGAGGCAAGUCUGACCGAGCCAAGCCGGAUGGAGGAAGAAGGCCCUCGGGAUUAUAAACUUCUGGUAGAGGAGACGAAACGUGUGUAUUCUUACGAAGUUGACGGUACCCGAGGAAUAAGCACCGGCUAACUACGUG